AUAGAUCAUAAAUGCUGGAAUGCUUUAUGAUUGAAAGGUUUCGACCGCCUUAGGAUGGAUCUGCGGCCUAUCAGGUUGUAGUGGGUGUAAUGUACCUACUAGCCUACGACGGGUACGGGUUGUGGAAGCAAGAGCCCGGAGAUGGAUUCUGAGACAUGAAUCCAGGCCCUACGGGGCGCAGCAGGCGCGAAAACUUUACAAUGCGGGAAACCGUGAUAAGGGAACACUGAGUGCUAGCAUUUAUGUUAGCUGUCCACAUGUGUAAAUAGCAUGUGAUAGCAAGGGCUGGGCAAGACCGGUGCCAGCCGCCGCGG
RNAcentral lists this ribosomal RNA (314 nucleotides) under uncultured archaeon. Its description in RNAcentral is "bacterial SSU rRNA". It matches the Rfam family "Archaeal small subunit ribosomal RNA", at positions 156 to 470 of the family's 1478-position model. The record is from RNAcentral.